RNAcentral lists this ribosomal RNA (484 nucleotides) under uncultured bacterium. RNAcentral's name for it is "partial 16S ribosomal RNA". It matches the Rfam family "Bacterial small subunit ribosomal RNA", at positions 30 to 507 of the family's 1533-position model. The record is from RNAcentral.
AUUGAACGCCGGCGGAAUGCUUUACACAUGCAAGUCGAACGGCAGCACGGGGGCAGCCCUGGUGGCGAGUGGCGAACGGGUGAGUAAUACAUCGGAACGUGCCCGGUCGUGGGGGAUAACGUAGCGAAAGUUACGCUAAUACCGCAUACGAUCUGAGGAUGAAAGCGGGGGACCUUCGGGCCUCGCGCGAUCGGAGCGGCCGAUGUCAGAUUAGGUAGUUGGUGGGGUAAAGGCCUACCAAGCCGACGAUCUGUAGCUGGUCUGAGAGGACGACCAGCCACACUGGGACUGAGACACGGCCCAGACUCCUACGGGAGGCAGCAGUGGGGAAUUUUGGACAAUGGGCGCAAGCCUGAUCCAGCCAUUCCGCGUGCAGGACGAAGGCCUUCGGGUUGUAAACUGCUUUUGUACGGAACGAAAAGGCUCUGGCUAAUACCUGGGGCUCAUGACGGUACCGUAAGAAUAAGCACCGGCUAACUACGUG